Non-coding RNA from Puntigrus tetrazona (Sumatra barb), 1251 nucleotides. The record is from the annotation of a RefSeq genome assembly. Lineage: Eukaryota; Metazoa; Chordata; Actinopteri; Cypriniformes; Cyprinidae.
UACUGGGUACGUCUCAUUCAUUUAUGGGACAAUAUGAAGCUCAGCUGGCUCAUACUCGCUUUCCUGCUGACUGUCUAUAAAUCCAACGGAGAAAUCCGCCAAGAGCCAGAAAUCUUAAGUGCCAACAGUGGUUCAGAUGUGACAUUAACAUGCCAACAUGAUAAUUCUGACCACUACAGAUUAUACUGGUACAAGCAGGCGAAGGGCACUGCGGGCCUGUCUUUAAUGGUGUUUUCUGCAGGUCAGAAUCUAGCGGAUAUUGAAGAACCGUUUAAAAAUCAACGUUCUAAGUAUGCAGCAACCCGUUCUGAAGUAAAGAUGUCCACGCUGAGGAUAAACAGACUAGAGAAUGAAGACUCGGCUGUCUAUUAUUGUGCCACAAGCACACGGCAUUAUAUUACAGCUGCACUGCUAAACAACAACCGCUACGCUAGCACUGUGCCACGCUUUCGUCUCUCAUUAUGAUGUCAUUUCCUGUUCCUUUUGAUCACAGACAAGCUAAACAGGCCAGUCAAAGUAAAUCUAAAAGUGGUGAGAGACAGUGAGGACUGGAUUCUCCUCUUUAAUGUCAUGGGACCGCUGUGUUUGGGGUUUAUUUUGCUGCUAGUUAUUAGUAAGUCUAUCCAGACCGUUUUGAAUUGAAAAGACUUAUUAAUAAAUGAACGUUGUUGUUACGAUUAAACUGCUUUAAUCUCUUCCCAACAGGGUCAUUAGGAGGGAUAACCAUCAUUCAGAAUGACGGAGUUAGCCAAACUCAAUUGAUUAUUCAACAAGAUAAACAAGUUACUUUAAAAUGUAACCACGAUGAUGGCAGCUAUUAUUAUAUGUACUGGUAUAGACAGAGAAGUCGAGGUGAACUGGCCCUUGUUGCUCUUUCUGUAGCAAAGGAUUCAAUAGAAACAGUUGCCCCAUUCACAACAACAAAAUUCAUAAUGAAUCGUCCUGAAAUUAAAGAAUCUUCACUGCAGAUUAAGGAUCUCACAGAGAAGGACUCCGGUAUUUAUUUCUGUGCAUCCAGUAUCACACCGUACUUUAACUUAGCCAAGCACCUGAACCUUAACCUCAACGUGAGCCACAACGAUCACAGAAAAAAUACAUGAUAAUCAGCCGGUUGUGGGAUAUACCAUCUCCUGUACAGAAUUCAUGCGUACACCUUUACUUAAAGUCUGAGGAAUGAUUACAUAGUACGCUUCUAACAAUAUAUAUGAAAUGCUAUACUAUUAUUUGUAUGCAUGCGUAAUAUAUGAAAUG